RNAcentral lists this ribosomal RNA (152 nucleotides) under Oleiphilus sp. HI0061. Its description in RNAcentral is "partial 16S ribosomal RNA". It matches the Rfam family "Bacterial small subunit ribosomal RNA", at positions 1388 to 1533 of the family's 1533-position model. Lineage: Bacteria; Pseudomonadati; Pseudomonadota; Gammaproteobacteria; Oceanospirillales; Oleiphilaceae. The record is from RNAcentral.
CACCGCCCGUCACACCAUGGGAGUGGAUUGCACCAGAAGUAGUUAGUCUAACCUUCGGGGGGACGAUUACCACGGUGUGGUUCAUGACUGGGGUGAAGUCGUAACAAGGUAGCCCUAGGGGAACCUGGGGCUGGAUCACCUCCUUAAACGAA